Molecule: ribosomal RNA, 466 nt
Filed under: uncultured bacterium
Lineage: Bacteria
Description: partial 16S ribosomal RNA
Rfam family: Bacterial small subunit ribosomal RNA
Source: RNAcentral
GACGAACGCUGGCGGCGUGCUUAACACAUGCAAGUCGAACGGAAAGGCCCUGCUUUUGUGGGGUGCUCGAGUGGCGAACGGGUGAGUAACACGUGAGUAACCUGCCCUUGACUUUGGGAUAACUUCAGGAAACUGGGGCUAAUACCGGAUAGGAGCUCCUGCUGCAUGGUGGGGGUUGGAAAGUUUCGGCGGUUGGGGAUGGACUCGCGGCUUAUCAGCUUGUUGGUGGGGUAGUGGCUUACCAAGGCUUUGACGGGUAGCCGGCCUGAGAGGGUGACCGGCCACAUUGGGACUGAGAUACGGCCCAGACUCCUACGGGAGGCAGCAGGGGGGAAUAUUGCACAAUGGGCGGAAGCCUGAUGCAGCAACGCCGCGUGCGGGAUGACGGCCUUCGGGUUGUAAACCGCUUUCGCCUGUGACGAAGCGUGAGUGACGGUAAUGGGCAAAGAAGCACCGGCUAACUACG